AUCGCGGGAUGCUACUCUCUCUCUCUUCCUUUUCUUGGUCUGAUCGUCAUUGGGCUUCUUCCCAACCUGCCAUGGAAGGCACAAAAGUUGUCUCAAAACCCAAGAGUAUUCAACUUGGGUAUUCAUCUUGUUCUCGUUGGAAGUGUUUGGCCUGAAAGCAGCUAAGGUCUUGUAGCCUUAUAUAUUGAGUCUCUUGAGUGUGUUAAGAAAAAUCUUGUCGCCACUCAUAACCAUCACGUUGCAAGGAGAACGGUUCUCAUGACGUCUCCACAUUUCAUAAAAAAAAAAAAUAUUUUUAUUUCGUUUGAUUUUGUUGUUUAUUUGCUAAUGGUUAUAUGCAAAAGUCUUUAUCAAAGCAUAUUUUAUGAUGUAAAAGUCUCCCUUCACACGCCCAUAAAAAAUCUAUUAUGAACUUUCAAAUUUUGUUUGCCCAAAAAUAGAUCAAGUUUCCAUUCAUGCAUAAGCAUA
This 468-nucleotide long non-coding RNA is filed under the name Brassica napus (rape). RNAcentral describes it as "long non-coding RNA (BNAP_LNC007106)". The record is from RNAcentral. Lineage: Eukaryota; Viridiplantae; Streptophyta; Magnoliopsida; Brassicales; Brassicaceae.